Molecule: transfer RNA, 58 nt
Filed under: Macrogyropus costalimai
Lineage: Eukaryota; Metazoa; Arthropoda; Insecta; Psocodea; Gyropidae
Description: tRNA-Ser
Source: RNAcentral
GAAUGUACUAAAAGUUAGCUUCUAACUAACUAGUAUGAUAUUUUUAUCAUUACAUUCU